AACGAACGCUGGCGGCAUGCCUAACACAUGCCAGUCGAACGAGACCUUCGGGUCUAGUUGCGCACGGGUGCGUAACGCGUGGGAACCUGCCCUUAGGUUCGGAAUAACUCCCCGAAAGGGGUGCUCAUACCGGAUAAUGUCUUCGGACCAAAGAUUUAUCGCCUUUGGAUGGGCCCGCGUUGGAUUAGCUAGUUGGUAGGGUAAAAGCCUGCCAAGGCGACGAUCCAUAGCUGGUCUGAGAGGAUGAUCAGCCACACUGGGACUGAGACACGGCCCAGACUCCUACGGGAGGGAGCAGUGGGGAAUAUUGGACAAUGGGCGAAAGCCUGAUCCAGCAAUGCCGCGUGAGUGAUGAAGGCCUUAGGGUUGUAAAGCUCUUUUACCCGGGAUGAUAAUGACAGUACCGGGAGAAUAAGCUCCGGCUAACUCCGUG
RNAcentral lists this ribosomal RNA (433 nucleotides) under uncultured bacterium. RNAcentral describes it as "partial 16S ribosomal RNA". It matches the Rfam family "Bacterial small subunit ribosomal RNA", at positions 29 to 507 of the family's 1533-position model. The record is from RNAcentral.